Molecule: ribosomal RNA, 253 nt
Filed under: uncultured bacterium
Lineage: Bacteria
Description: partial 16S ribosomal RNA
Rfam family: Bacterial small subunit ribosomal RNA
Source: RNAcentral
UACGUAGGAUGCAAGCGUUGUCCGGAAUUAUUGGGCGUAAAGAGCGCGCAGGCGGUAUGACAAGUCAGAUGUGAAAGAGGCCGGCUUAACCGGCAAGGGUCAUUUGAAACUGUCAGACUAGAGUGCAGCAGAGGAUAGUGGAAUUCCCGGUGUAGUGGUGAAAUGCGUAGAGAUCGGGAAGAACAUCGGUGGCGAAGGCGCUCUACUGGACCACAACUGACACUCAGGGACGAAAGCUAGGGGAGCGAAUGGG